CUACAGCCAUACCACCCUGAACAUGCUCUCUCUCAUCUGAUCUUGGUAGCUAAGCAGAAUCGGGCCUGGUUAGUACCUGGAUGGGAGA
RNAcentral lists this ribosomal RNA (88 nucleotides) under Ailuropoda melanoleuca (giant panda). Lineage: Eukaryota; Metazoa; Chordata; Mammalia; Carnivora; Ursidae. The record is from RNAcentral.